UCGACCAACUUCUACCUGACUCAGACUCCGACGGACUAACUAGCUAUCUAACGGUUUAAGCUAAAGGUUUUGGUGGGAAGAACUAAUGAAUCGAUCUAGGGGGUUUAUAUAGGCUGGGGAAACUUGGUCAGCAAGUUACUUGGAGUGCAAGUCACUCAAAGGAUAAGGCUUAUCCUUAUCUUAUCCACUUUCAAGCUUAUCAUUAUCCAAUCUUGUUCUUAUCCUUAUCUAAAUGCCCAUUCUAAUCUAAAACGUGUGGAGGAUCAUGCACAACACACGCCAAGUUCAUGGAACAACUGCCUAUGCCACAAGCACCUCAACGACAUGGCCUUAACGACCAUUCGUUAUGUCGCUCACGGUACACGCCCGUACCGAGAACUCUCCGAC
Molecule: long non-coding RNA, 387 nt
Organism: Arabidopsis thaliana (thale cress)
Lineage: Eukaryota; Viridiplantae; Streptophyta; Magnoliopsida; Brassicales; Brassicaceae
Product: other RNA
Exons: 1
Source: RefSeq